CAAAGCGUAGUUUAGACAAAACCCCUUGCUUACACCAAGAAGUCGCUGAUUAACUCAGCCGCCUUGA
Molecule: transfer RNA, 67 nt
Filed under: Heyerus bilineatus (two-lined robber frog)
Lineage: Eukaryota; Metazoa; Chordata; Amphibia; Anura; Craugastoridae
Description: tRNA-Val
Source: RNAcentral